GACAGAGGGGGCAAGCGUUGCUCGGAAUUACUGGGCGUAAAGGGCGCGUAGGCGGGAUGGCAAGUCGGUCGUGAAAUCCCUCGGCUCAACCGAAGAACGUCGAUCGAUACUGCUGUUCUUGAGGAUUGCAGAGGAGACUGGAAUUCCCGGUGUAGCGGUGAAAUGUGUAGAGAUCGGGAGGAACACCGGUGGCGAAGGCGGGUCUCUGGGCAAUUCCUGACGCUGAGGCGCGAAAGCGUGGGGAGCAAACGGG
RNAcentral lists this ribosomal RNA (253 nucleotides) under uncultured bacterium. Its description in RNAcentral is "partial 16S ribosomal RNA". It matches the Rfam family "Bacterial small subunit ribosomal RNA", at positions 524 to 776 of the family's 1533-position model. The record is from RNAcentral.